RNAcentral lists this transfer RNA (77 nucleotides) under compost metagenome. Its description in RNAcentral is "tRNA-Ala". The record is from RNAcentral.
CGUCGGUGUAGCGGAUGUUUGCGCGCCGUCCUGGCAAGGUCGCUCCUAUCGUGACGUGCAAUACCUCAGCCGCUGGC